Molecule: transfer RNA, 81 nt
Filed under: Phacus orbicularis
Lineage: Eukaryota; Euglenozoa; Euglenophyceae; Euglenales; Phacaceae
Description: tRNA-Leu
Rfam family: tRNA
About the family: Transfer RNA (tRNA) molecules are approximately 80 nucleotides in length. Their secondary structure includes four short double-helical elements and three loops (D, anti-codon, and T loops).
Source: RNAcentral
GCAGGUGUGGCGGAAUUGGUAGACGCGCGGGAUUUAGGUUCCCGUGUUUUUAAUGUGAGAGUUCGAGUCUCUCUACCUGUA